Molecule: ribosomal RNA, 439 nt
Filed under: uncultured bacterium
Lineage: Bacteria
Description: partial 16S ribosomal RNA
Rfam family: Bacterial small subunit ribosomal RNA
Source: RNAcentral
CUACGGGCCGCUCCAGUGGGGAAUAUUGCACAAUGGACGAAAGUCUGAUGCAGCAACGCCGCGUGGAGGAUGACACAUUUCGGUGCGUAAACUCCUUUUAUAUAGGAAGAUAAUGACGGUACUAUAUGAAUAAGCGCCGGCUAACUCCGUGCCAGCAGCCGCGGUAAUACGGAGGGCGCAAGCGUUACUCGGAAUCACUGGGCGUAAAGAGCGUGUAGGCGGAUAGAUAAGUCAGGAGUGAAAUCCUAUGGCUCAACCAUAGAACUGCUCUUGAAACUGUCUAUCUAGAAUAUGGGAGAGGUAGAUGGAAUUUCUGGUGUAGGGGUAAAAUCCGUAGAGAUCAGAAGGAAUACCGAUUGCGAAGGCGAUCUACUGGAACAUUAUUGACGCUGAGACGCGAAAGCGUGGGGAGCAAACAGGAUUAGAUACCCUAGUAGUC